Solea senegalensis (Senegalese sole) is the source of this 355-nucleotide long non-coding RNA. RefSeq lists it as uncharacterized. Lineage: Eukaryota; Metazoa; Chordata; Actinopteri; Pleuronectiformes; Soleidae. The record is from RefSeq and is a predicted model, not a curated record. The transcript is spliced from 2 exons.
AACGUUCAUGUCCUCGCUGGACAAAUAAAAGAAAAAUGGCAGCUGAAAUUGUGAGAAGGGUCCAGCUGAGGGAAGGAUGGAGCCCUGAGCUGAGGAGAUGCAACAUUUGCCAAACAAAGGGGAGCUGCGCAAAGCUUGUGUCUCAUGUGCAGGGACAGAGGACGGUGGUAAGUCCGUCUAUAUUGUCUAAUAUUUGUUCAUCUCAAUGCUGAAAGGCCUUCAUUUCCCCAUGAGCCUUACAUGUUAUGAAACAUGCUGUUAUUUCUGUCCUGACCAUGGAUAAGUGUGACCAUCACACUGUUCAACUCAUCCCUUUGAACAUCAGACACUCACAAUAAGUAAAGUAAACUAAUGC